This 65-nucleotide transfer RNA is filed under the name Aureococcus anophagefferens. It matches the Rfam family "tRNA", at positions 5 to 66 of the family's 71-position model. From Rfam's summary of the family: Transfer RNA (tRNA) molecules are approximately 80 nucleotides in length. Their secondary structure includes four short double-helical elements and three loops (D, anti-codon, and T loops). Further hydrogen bonds mediate the characteristic L-shaped molecular structure. tRNAs have two regions of fundamental functional importance: the anti-codon, which is responsible for specific mRNA codon recognition, and the 3' end, to which the tRNAs corresponding amino acid is attached (by aminoacyl-tRNA synthetases). tRNAs cope with the degeneracy of the genetic code in two manners: having more than one tRNA (with a specific anti-codon) for a particular amino acid; and 'wobble' base-pairing, i.e. permitting non-standard base-pairing at the 3rd anti-codon position. Lineage: Eukaryota; Pelagophyceae; Pelagomonadales; Pelagomonadaceae. The record is from RNAcentral.
UAUAUAGCUCAGCAGGUAGAGCAUCGGACUUUUAAUCCGCAGGUCUUGGGUUCAAACCCCAAUAU